RNAcentral lists this long non-coding RNA (1013 nucleotides) under Sinocyclocheilus anshuiensis. RNAcentral describes it as "lncRNA (ENSSANG00000048794.1)". Lineage: Eukaryota; Metazoa; Chordata; Actinopteri; Cypriniformes; Cyprinidae. The record is from RNAcentral.
UCAAAAAUAAUUAUGCUAAAAUAUACUUUUUCUAUAUAUUUUCAUAAUUUUAGAGGCUGAAGUCAAGGAGAAAUCUAAACCAGCCCCCGAGAAGAAAGGUAAGUGUUACCAUUAUUUAAACUUUUUACAUUUUAUCGAUUUCAUUUAUGCUUCAUUCAGAUUGACAUUUUACCCAAGCUAACAGCAUUCACCUAUUUACAAUCUCUAAAUGUUAUUUUAUAGUGGCUGCAGUCAUUAAGGAGAAAGUAGCUCCUGUAAAGAAAGAGCCUGAAGUUGCAAAAGAAAAGGCACCUGAACCAAAACCAGAAUCCACCAAGAAAGGUGUUAAUAUUCUAUAUUUACUGUUUAUAUUUUAAAAUGUGCAAUUUUGAAAACAUGCCUCGUACACAUAUUUUCAUAUAAGCCUUUCGUAGAAAGAAUAUUAAUUUACCUUGUGAUGUCUUUUCAGUUGAGGUUCCAAAGGAAAAAGAAAAACCAGUCCCUGAAAAGAAAGGUACGUACCUAGUUUACCUGUCAAUUCAAAAUCACUUUGAAUAAUUAUGUAAUGCAGCACCUUGUUGAUUUAUCUGUACAUCUGCAAACUCUAAAGUUAAACACUCAUGUUUUGCAGCAGCACCUGAAAUAACCAAAGAAAAACCCAAGUCUGUACCAAAGAAGGGUAAAUUGCUUACAUUUAUUAGUGGGAAUAAUGCUUAUAUAUAUAUAUAACAGCUUUUCCACUGGCCUUUUGUAAAUAAAGCUAAUCGUUCGCAUUUUUCUUUAUUUAUAUAUAUAUAUAUUUUUUUUUUUCUUUAGAGGCUGAAGUCAUCAAAGAGAAAGUUAAACCAGCUCCUGAGAAGAAAGAGCCUGAAGUCAUUAAGGAAAAGGUUAAACCAGCCCCUGAGAAAAAAGAGGCUGAAGUCAAGAAGAAAGCAAAACCAGCUCCUGUAAAGAAAGGUAUGGAUGUGAAUGAAAUGCUUUUGUUUGAUGAUUAUUUUUUCAUGGAACUUGAAGUUUCAUGUCAGUUGUUAUAA